Molecule: RNA transcript, 7463 nt
Organism: Leopardus geoffroyi (Geoffroy's cat)
Lineage: Eukaryota; Metazoa; Chordata; Mammalia; Carnivora; Felidae
Gene: RBM12B
Gene name: RNA binding motif protein 12B
Exons: 5
Source: RefSeq, a predicted model, not a curated record
GCAGUUACCCUUGGGGCGUCGGGGUGGGGAGGGGUUGGCGACGGGGACGGAAGAACGGGGAAAGGCGGGGCCGGCGGCCGCGCCAGGAGCUAGCGUAGCUUCUGCCGUUAGGGCACCCUCCUUCCUUGCUAAACACCGACUCUCCCGUCAGCCUCCAUGUGGUGUUGUGUGUGCGCUUCCCAGUUUUCCUGAGAGUGAAGAUCUCGAAGGAUUUCAUAGGUAUUUUUUUUCUUUGCUAUGUCAUCGUAGUCAGUGGUGGCAGAAAAGCGCUGAAGGCCCGGCUCGUUAGGCGUGAGAGUGGCCAAAGUGUUUGAGUUAGGUAUGGGGCAGUUCACCCUGUGGCGAGUUAGGGUGGAAUGUUUGCCCUUGGGACGGCGUAACGGAAAGGCACGGAGGUUGGGCGGUCCAGGUUAAUUUGAAGGCUGAUUUUGGCUGAAGGUCUGGCGACAGCAUCGGAUCCCACGUAGCAACUUUGGCCUGGCGCAAAAGAAGGAAGCUCUAACCCUUGGGAGUCUGGACAAAGGCUUUGGGCUAUAGAAGCGAUUCCUUCGGAUGAUCCCCAUUUGAGGAUGAUGGAUGUUAUGGGAAAUCCUGUGCCCUGUGGAUUCGUCUUCAUUUACAGUUCCUAUUAACGACUAUGGCUCUGUCGUCAUGCCUUUGGUUUUUAUUUUAACCAUCUACAUUAUAAAAGGAUAAAAGGCAGAUCUUCAUAAAGAAUAAUUGUGGACCGGGCUAGAUUAUUUUCUGCAAGGGAAACUCAUGCAUUUAGAAUUUCAUCAUAACUUUGGGUUUUAAGGAAUAGUCAUUUCCCCCCACCGUAUCUGGAGAAUGACUUGUUACUCUCUAGUUAAAAUCAGAUGGAUCUGAGAUAAUACCUAUUUAAAUUUAGUCUCGUUUCCCUAUCAGGCUUGAUUAGAAGAUGCACAUUUCGUAUUGUUUAGUAAUGGUGAUCAAGUGUGAUGAAUCCUGGAUAAAAUCAAAAUUACUUAAAAUGAACUUCUUAAUUUCAAGCUUUUCAGGACUCACUUCAUCUUUUCAUAGUUAAGUUGCUUUUACAGAAUUAACAGGUCUCCAAGAAAUUUUAAAAAGAUCUCUUCUAGGAGUGAGUCUCAAGAUGCUCUGAAGUGAUUGCACAGAGGUGAUCUUUUGAAGGGGAAAAUGAGCCUGACAAUGCUUUUUUAUGUGAAGAACAAAUAAGCAAAAAUACUUUUGUGCCUUUAUUCCUCCCUUUAAAAGGUAAGAGGGUUGGACAGUUACUCUUCAGAUGUGCUUGUUGAAGCCAGGCUGUGAUAUUUAGAUGCUCUAACAUUAGUUGGCUACUUGUGUUUGCAUCUAACUAUCAGUACAAAGCAAGCCUUAUUAUAAACCUACACUUAUUUCAUAGCAUACGGAUUAAAUCACACAAAACUGGUGAGAAUCCUGAUUUGCUCUUUACUAGCUAAGUGGCUGUGGUCAAGUUAAGUUACGUAAAGCCUCUAAACCUGUUUCUGUAGUUAUAAGAUGCGAAUAACCACAGCACCUACUUCAUAGGAUUCUGAGCAGUGAAUGAGAAAAUGCAUGUGAAGCUUUGGGUAUUCUGCACAGCAUAAGCAAUCAAAUGUUAGCACUAAUCAAUGUGAUGGUUAGCACACUUAAGUCACUUAACAUCACCAGUCAAAAUGAUACAGUAUUUCACGUAAUGGCCUUAUUAACUAGCUGUUAAUAAAUUAAUUCUUGGAACUUUACCAUGGUGAAUUUGUUAAGUUAAAAAUACAUAAUGAGAAAAACAUAAAAGUUGAGCUAUUUGGGACUGCACACAGUAACACGAGCCAUUGUAGUAUUCAAACUUAAGAUAUUUUUACCCAUACAGAUUAAUGCUUUCUUUUAAAUAUUUCCAUCUUAAGAGAAGAACUUAACUUAGAUAGAUACAGUCCUACCUCCAAAUCUUCUUCUUCAUCAAUCUUUUGUAUGUUUUGGUAGGCAGCAGUAUAGACCUCUAAAGCUUUGCCAUGAAAUAACAUUUCAAUAGUGAUAAAUUCUGAAAAUAUAGUCUAAAAAAAAAAAAAAACCACAAAGAUUUGAAUUUAAACAAUCAUAUGAAUUUGUGAAUUUAGUAAAUUUAUUCCUUAUUAUUGUUUUUGCAUUUUAUGAAAUACAGAGGUAUCUCUUUUUCCACAGGGCACAUCAAGUAUAAAAGAUAAUGGGAAUAAAAAUAGUUGAAAAGACUAGCACAACGUUGAAAUUAUAUAAAAUGUUUCUUAUCCCACCAUUUAAUUUCCUCCUAUUUUUUAAUAAGUCAGUUCUUUGUAUACCUUGUAAUUGAUAUUUGUGAUAAAAAAAAAGAUCUGACUAAAAUGUAUACCAUAUGUACUCUGUUACCAUAUGUCUCUAAAUAUUAGAUAAAGCAGGUCAGUUCUAAACCUGAUAUUUUAGUAACUCCAACUGAUGUUGAAACAAUAGUAUGUCUUUUUAGACAGGAAUUCUAUCCCAUCAUAUUUCUAUGUGUUACUUGUAUUCUCUAGCCACAAAGGACUUACUUGGUAAUUAUAUUGCUACUACUGAUAAUAGCACCAUGCAUUUGUGUAGAGCUUUUCCAGUUUAUGAAUACGUGACUUGCCUCCUGUUGCUCAUAGCUAGAAUGUUGUGACUUGGGUCUGAUUCUUCAAAGGUAAUAGCUCUUGCUUAUUGUACUGUGCUCUUCUUGCUGGAAUCCAUCAUUUCCUUCACAAAUAAACUAUGCAUGUAAACUCUAUGGAGCAUGAUGACAGCUUACAACAAGGAAGAUAAUGAGCUAAGAGAAUGAAUGGAGAUGUGCAUGUUGAUUUAAGCAGGGGUGAGAUAAUCGGUAGGUAAGGAAAGGAUACAAACCAGAACAGUUUUCAAUAAAAUAGGAUCUUAUCCUCUUGUUAAUUAUUUUGUCUCUUAUCAAAAUAAAAAAAUCAGAGCAUUAAUAUAGAGAGGAGUGGACAGAAUAAGAAUAAGCUAGAAAGUACCAAAGCAUUGUCCUUAAGGGGCAAGAGAAAAGAGAUGGGCUACAACAGACAAGAGUCAAAUACCCAUUUCUCUUUGUUGCUGCUCUCCUGUGUUAGUCAUCAAAUAGGAGUGGCCCUGCACUUUGGAAGACAGUGUUAUAGGUAUCCCUUAGUGUCCUGUGAUUUUUUUUUUCUCCUUCAUGUCCAUUCUUUCUUCCUUAAGAAUAUUUAAGGGAGUACUGAUAGGCUUCUGAUUACUACUCGAUGGAAACAGAUCAGUAGUUGAAAGUAUCCCUUCUGGCCUAAAAAGACUGGGCUCUGGGACAAGACACAAGUAUGACUACUUGUCACUUACUGUCACUUCAUAUAGGUCACAGAGGGUUCUGGUAUACUGGAAUGGCAACUGACUAAUAAGCAGUAUUAUGACCAAGAAUCUCUAGAUACCCAAGAAUGAAGUCGCUUUUGAUUAAGACUGGCACUUACUCACUUAGUUGUCCGUCUUCCUAAGAUAGCAGUCUAGCUAGAAAGGAGUCAAGUGCCCUUAGGAGUGUGAAAACUCCAAAAGGGAAAACAGCAGAAGAAGUCAAUGAUAUGCCAAAACACUUAAGAUUCCUACUUGGUUCUUGGUCUGCAGCUCAUUUUAGGCAAUGGGAAUAAUCAAGCAGAGGUUUACAACUUUCCUUCUGAAUCUUAAAUUUAGAGAUUUUCUACAUUUACUAAAUAAAGAACUAUGUAAAAAAUAUAGACAUAGCUUGACUUUCUUUUUAUUCAAGGCUGUUACAGAAAUUUGUUUUCAUUUAUUUAGGUUUAAUGUUUCAGCUAAGUACAGUAGAGAAUUAACAUUUUACAAUGUUACACAGUGCACUCUCUUUUUUAGUUUUUCUUUUUUGGGUAUUUAUAAAUCAUCUGUUUACUUACGUGGAUCUAUUAUGUGGAGAGAGAAGAUAAGGUAUUUGCUUUAUGCUAUAAAAAUACUUGAGAAAUAAAGUAGCCUCAAAUAAGGGAAUUAAGCUUAAUCAGUCAAAUGAGUUAGGUAUUACUCCUAUUUUUAAAUAUUUCUACAAGUGGACAUUCUAAAUCUUUAUAAUAGACUGUCACACUAUUUAAUAACUAGUGAAAUCCAAAUACUUACAACCUUAUUACACCUAAAUCAGUAGAUUAGGCUUAAUUCAAAUCUAUUCCACUGUGGUAACUUUGUGGAAUAUGCAAACAUUUCAAAAUAAUUUAAAACAUUUUUCAAGUAUCUGAAUAUAGUUAUUAAAUUUCUGACGGUCAGAAUCUCUGAAUGUAUCAUCUCUGAACUAACAAUUUUUUAAUACUAGCAUUUUAUAGGAUUUACAUUACCCUUAGCUCAUAAGUGAGCCCUGAAAAAUAUGUAGAUACGUCUGUCACUGAAGAAAGCUACAUUAUUUUUGUUUAUUCAUGUCCUCUGAUAAGAGAAUCUACUGCAUUCUCAUUUUAAAAAACACUGAUCAACUUUGAGUCUGUUACCACUUUCCAGUCUCAAUUUAGUUUCAAUUAAUAUAAGUACUUUACAAAUUCUCUUUAAUCUAUAAAUGGCUAUUAUUUACUAUGUGGAAGGUGGGGGGAGGGAAUCACUCUCAGGUUUUGUGAUACUUUGGUUUAAUCCUUUAUGGUUUGAACUUUUAUUUCUUGACAAAACCUAUAUUGUAACACCUAAAUAAGACGAGACUGGCCCUACUGAUUUUUUAUACUGUUUAUUUUUCUGUCAAAACCAUAAUGGGAAAUCAGAAGUACUGGUAAUCUAGUAUCCCAGACUUGGAAUUUUUGACCUAAGAGUUAUGAAGCCUAAAGAUUAUCAUAGAGAGUUAUAUCCCUGAGUAUAGCGAGGAGGGAAUACUGCCAAUUAAUUAUACUUUCUUUUUCUAGUUAGAAUUUCACAAAACAUCUGAAGAUAGGCAGAAGGAAGGAGACUAAUAGCAAGGAACAGAAAAGUUAGGUGACACCUAGUAUAAGAAGAACAUAAAAAGCAUGUUUUUGAAAUUAAAUAGUUUCAGUGAAUCACCAGAAGGGUGGUGGAACUUUUUAGGACCCAAUCAUACUUAGAAAUAAUUUUCCCCAAAUAAAUUUAGCCUAACUUUCAGUGAUCUCAUGUAAUCUUAUCUGCAGUGGGUGAGUAUCAUCAGGGACAGACACAUUAAUGAGUUAUUUUUUUUUUCCCCUUUUCAAUUUUAUUUUGUAUGACUAGAGGGCAAUUUGGGCAUGUACUUAAUUUUUACUGGUAGGAGAUGGGGGAGCUAAUCUGAAAUUCUCUAUUGACAAGUAUUCUGUAAAGCAGGAUAGUAUAUAGGAGUUAAGAUUAUGGGCUCUGGAUUAAGAUAAAUGUGGGUUCCAAUCAUGACCGAACAUAACAGUUAUAUAAUAUAAGCAGUUUAUCUGUACUUUUCCUUAAUCUUUCUCAUCUGUACAAUGGGGGAUAAGAACAGUAUCAAACUCAUAAGUUUGGGGGUGAAGGAUUAAAUGAGAGAAUCCAAGAAAAGGUAUAGUAUGGUGACUGACUUAGAGUAAGUGCUCAACACAAGUUAGCUAUUUUUAUCACUCAAGAAGUAAACUUGCUAAGUUAGAAAAUGUUCCUUAUGUUAAUAUUAAAGCCCCUACCUGGUUUAAUUAGCAAGCAACACUUUUAACAAAAAAGUCAUGAAAGUUCUGACUAAUAACAUUUUGGCAAAUAAAGGGGAAAUAAUGACUCCAGAGUAGAGGCUAUUCAAUAAGUGAUGCCAGGAGAACUUUUAUCUACUUGAAAAGAAUAAAGCUAGAUAUCUACCUCAUACCAUAUGCAAAACACAACUGCCAGAUAAAAUGUUUAAAUAUUUAAAAUAUUUUUAAAACUUACAAAUACUACAAGAAAAUAUAAGCAAGUAUUUACAAUCUUGAGGAUGAAAACAACCUUUCAAACAUGACACCAAGUAUGAAACCAAAAAAGAGACCAACAGAUCUGGCAACAAACGUAAAACUUUAUGGCACAAACACACCAUAAACAACAAAAUGGGAAAAUACAUUUGCGACAUUUCUCUUCAAUAUAAAAGGUUAAUUCUCUCAAUAUAAGGAUUUUUUACAAAUUAAUAAGCAAACUGCCAACACUCAAUAAAAAUACAGGCUAAGGACAAGUGUGGGUAAUUUACUAAAGAAGAAAUAAAUGUAUUAUUAAAUAUAUGAAAAAAUAUUGUCUUAAUAGUAGUAAGUGCAAAUUAAGAUUACACCGAUUUUUUUCACCUAUCAGACUAAUUAUUAAAAAGACUACUACUCAUCAUUGGUAUACUGGGUUGCUCAUGCAGGUUUUAUAGAAAUGUAAACCGGUUAAAACUUUGUGGGCAGGAGUUUAAAGCUUUGUGGACAGAAGGUAUCAAAAUUUAAAGGGUGUUAUGCUCUUUGAAUCAGAAAUACCACUCUGUUAAUUUAUCCCAAAAGAACAACUGGAUCAGCAAAAAGCCGAAUGUUUAAUGAUGCAAUGAGAUCUAUACCUGCAAAAAUAAUGUUGAUAUCACCAAUAAGGACUGGUUAGAUAAAGUAAUAUAUAUCCAUAGCAAAAGCUGUGAGGAUACCAAAAGGAUGAUACACAUCUGUUUCUUAGCAAAUGUCUGUGAUAUAUUAAAUUUUAAAAAGAGAUGCUACAUAUAGUGUGGUCCACUUAAAUAUAACUGUAUAGGGGUAAUGAUAUUACCUCCCUCAUAAAGAUGUUGUGAGGAGUAAGUGAGUGUAUCCACAUAAAAUGCCUAGAAUAUGUGACAUAGUCAACGCCUAAGAAAUAUUUAUUAUCCUAUCUCUUGUGUAUAUGUACAUAGAAAAAAGUUGUAAUGACAUAAACCAAAAUGCUAAUUUAUUAUUUCUCAGUAGUAGGAUUAUUAUACUUUCUUAAUAGUUUCAUGCAGAAAAUUUAUGGUUAUUUUAUAUUUAGUUAUAAGAAAAAUAAAACUAUUAAAAUUAAAUUUAGAAGAUGUUUCUUGUUCAUGUCAGCUACUUUGCCACAUACUGAAUUCCUGUUUCUCUCUGUUCCAGGAGUGACCCCCUGUUUAAGAUCCUUUCUGUAGGCCUGAAAUUCCCUUGACAUUCACCAUGUAACUGAUGAUUUUUCCUAUUAUAUGGGAAACAAAUGGGAUUGUGAUUUUUCAUCCACAUUCUGUACUCUUAAGUUCCAUACCAACUUUUCUCAAGCCAAUUUUUUGCAAGGUUCCUGUGAAGUCUUUAUCUAAAAAUUGUGCUACCUUGCUGAUUAAUUAAUUGUGCUACUUUUGCUACUACCAAAAUUCAGAUGGACUUGUCAGUUAAACCUACCUCCCACACAGUUGUACAGUAAUCAGCAGUGCUCACUCAUUUCUGCCCCCAGAGAGGUUAGAGGAGCCAGAAGUUCUGCCCCCUUCUGAACCAGUAGCCUGAUAAAAGAGUUGAUGUAAUUCCUACCAGAAUCCCACCUGAUUUCUUUAUAGAAACUGAGAAGCUGAUUCUAAAAUUCAUACAGAAUUACAACAGAUCUAGAAUAGCCAAAACAAUCUU